GAUAAUUUCUACUUCGCCUUAACCAGGACGGUUAGAUAAGAAAGUCCUUCAACAUCUUAGAGUGACUUUGUUUUACACGACACUAUCAGUUUAACUAAGUCUUAGUUCAACAUUCUGAACGAUGGCUUCUUGGAUGGUUCUGGUAACAUUUUUUUGUGUCCUUUCGGUUCUCCGGCUGACCAACGGCCAGUCCUGCGUGUCUUCAAGCCAAUGUGCGGCCAACCAGUGCUGCAGAGACCCUGCUACCAACAGAGUGUUGGUUGAGGAUCCCCAGGGAUUUCUGGAGAUCGUCCAGCCCGGUUCGUCUGGCCAUUGUGUGGCGGGAGGGGCCCAGCCAGGGGACAUGUGUGACUCCACCUGCAGCUGUCCGGCAGGUUACGAGUGCUACAGUAGGAUUACAGGAGUGUGCUGUGCCCCUAGAACGUGCGUUACGGUUGAAGAAGCCAAUGCCGACCGCGAAUUCUGGCGCUGCCACCCGCCACCCGCCAAGAGGAGGAAGAGGUUCUUCCUGUCCCUGUGUCCUGAACUCCCACCCGCGGCAGCUGAGGGCGGCGCUCCAUAAAACUGAUCAGCGGCUGUUUUUGUGGAUGACUUGCGUACGAGCAAGCGUGUGGUUAGAUUAUUAGUGAUGUAAUCAUAGCGAUAACCACGAGAAAAAUAACUCGUUCUUGUCACAAGCAUCUUUGAAACAGUGACUUUCUGCUGAUAAAAGUGCUUUAAAAAAAUGCGAUUUUCUUCGAGGAUUUAUUUUUCUUAGUGUGGCGUGUCAUCGAGUUUUGUUUAUUUAUUUAUUUUUUUUUUAAUUGUAUCACCUUAUGCAUCUGGCCAAAGGUUUUGCACUUCAGUCUUUGCUUCAUUUGUUUUGUUUACUGGAGUUUAAUUGCAGAUAUCACCUUCUAAAAAUAGCCAAAUAUUUCGUAGAGUGCUGACAUUACAUAUAUAUACACAAAUGUCAUUCUCUGCUUCAUAUGUUAUGCUUGCUGAAAUUUGAAAACUUUCAAACGAAGGUAUCUACGUCAGCGAACAGACUCCUAUUUCGUCUCGUCUUUGGCAUGAUGAGGGUGUGUACUUCAGCAACUGAUCUGAAAGCUUCAGUUAUAUGCGGUUUUGAUUGAAAAUAUACACAGUAAACACUGUCACAACGUCAACAGUUAGCACUUUAACAUGGAACUCAUCAAAAAAAUUAUUCGCAAUCGGAAAAAUUCGCAAACAAGCCGCAUCGCUGUUUAUGUUGCAGGGUUUAAAGCUGCGGAAAAAGUCGCUGUUUAUAGUCCGAAAUUUACGGUAAAUAAUAACUUACCACAUACAUCACACCAUACCCACCUGUACUUAGUAACAUACACAGUAGCUGGCCACACACUGUGCGGGCUGUAGUUGCUCUCACUCAACAUCCUGAACUAGAAAUGCAAAAUGCAAACAUCCUGUUUUGUCAGAAUAAGUAAAUAAGCAGCCUGCAUUGCAGGCAUGAGAUGUAGAGCAGAAGCGGGCCAUACGUCAGGGGCGACAAUAGGAGCAAAACUUCAACUUUUCAGUUACAGGCCGUCCAGAACGAGGCAGCUCAAUUUGCAGCUUCGGGUUUCAUCUUCUAAAGGGGUGUACUUCUCAAAGAUUAAAAGAAAUCGACUGUGCGAUCGAAACCACAGAGGAAUACCUGGCCGUACGAUCACACUAAGGCGGAGGCUACAGUAGGUGUCACGUGUCAUCGGCGCCUCCUUGUCGAUCCAUCUCUCACCUGCUGUCGCCCACGCCGAGAGACGAGCGCCGUGUGUCAUCCUAGUGACUCAUAGAUAUCUACUACGCUCAGUAAAACACGGGAUAAACAUUCCUGCUUGAAAUGUACCACGCUCUAUCAGUUUAACUAAGUCUUCAACAUUCUGAAUGAUGGCUUCUUGGAUGGUUCUGGUAACCUUUUUUUGUGUCCUUUCGGUUCUCCGGCUGACCAACGGCCAGUCCUGCGUGUCUUCAAGCCAAUGUGCGGCCAACCAGUGCUGCAGAGACCCUGCUACCAACAGAGUGUUGGUGGAGAAUCUCCAGGGAUUUCUGAAGAUCGUCCAGCCCGGAUCGUCUGGCCAUUGUGUGGCGGGAGGGGCCCAGCCAGGGGAAAUGUGCGACUCCACCUGCAGCUGUCCGGCAGGUUACGAGUGCUACAGUAGGAUUACAGGAGUGUGCUGUGCGCCUAGAACGUGCUUCACGGUUGAAGAAGCCAAUGCCGACCGCGAAUUCUGGCGCUGCCGCCCGCCACCCGUCAAGAGGAGGAAGAGGUUCUUCCUGUCCAUGUGUCCUAAACUCCCACCCGUCAAGGCAGCAGAGGGCGGCGCUCCAUAAAACUGAUCAGCGGCUGUUUUUGUCUAUGGAUGACUUGCGUGCGAGCAAGCCUGUGGUUAGAUUAUUAGUAAUGUAACCAUAGCGAUAACCACGAGAAAAAUAACUCAAAUUCUUGUCACAAGCUACAUUGAAACAGCAACUUUCUGCUGAUAAAACUGCUUAAAAAAAUGCGA
This is an RNA transcript of Pomacea canaliculata, 2498 nucleotides long. RefSeq lists it as uncharacterized. The record is from RefSeq and is a predicted model, not a curated record. The transcript has 7 exons. Lineage: Eukaryota; Metazoa; Mollusca; Gastropoda; Architaenioglossa; Ampullariidae.